Myotis davidii is the source of this 75-nucleotide non-coding RNA. The record is from Rfam. NCBI's taxonomy places the organism in Eukaryota, Metazoa, Chordata, Mammalia, Chiroptera, Vespertilionidae.
GGAGGUUCUUGGGUGAUGCACCCCAGAAUCAGCCUCCCUCCUCUCUGGUUCUGGGUGCGUCACCCAAGAAUCACA